UACAGAGGUCUCAAGCGUUGUUCGGAUUCAUUGGGCGUAAAGGGUGCGUAGGCGGCGCGGUAAGUCGGGUGUGAAAUCUCGGAGCUUAACUUCGAAACUGCAUUCGAUACUGCCGUGCUUGAGGACUGGAGAGGAGACUGGAAUUUACGGUGUAGCGGUGAAAUGCGUAGAUAUCGUAAGGAAGACCAGUGGCGAAGGCGGUUCUCUGGACAGUUCCUGACGCUGAGGCACGAAGGCCAGGGGAGCAAACGGG
This 253-nucleotide ribosomal RNA is filed under the name uncultured bacterium. RNAcentral describes it as "partial 16S ribosomal RNA". It matches the Rfam family "Bacterial small subunit ribosomal RNA", at positions 524 to 776 of the family's 1533-position model. The record is from RNAcentral.